Molecule: RNA transcript, 907 nt
Organism: Puntigrus tetrazona (Sumatra barb)
Lineage: Eukaryota; Metazoa; Chordata; Actinopteri; Cypriniformes; Cyprinidae
Gene: dhrs11b.1
Gene name: dehydrogenase/reductase 11b, tandem duplicate 1
Exons: 8
Source: RefSeq, a predicted model, not a curated record
UAACAUGGAUCGCUGGAAAGGCAGGGUUGCUCUGGUCACCGGGGCUUCGGUGGGAAUCGGGGCAGCUAUCGCAAAGUCUCUUGCCCGGCACGGCAUGAAGGUGGUCGGCUGUGCCAGGAACGUGGAGCAAAUCGAGAAACUGUCUUCUGAAUGCGUGAGCAGCGGCUUCAGCGGCAAUCUGAUCCCGUACAAAUGCGAUCUGUCCGUAGAGGACGACGUGUUAUCCAUGUUCUCCUGGAUCAAAGUUCAUCAUCAAGGAGUCGAUGUGUGCAUCAACAAUGCUGGAUUGGCUCUCCCGGAGCCUCUGCUGAGCGGAAAAAUCAGCGGCUGGAAGACCAUGAUAGACGUGAACGUCAUUGCCCUGUCAGUGUGCACCCGUGAGGCCUACCAGUCCAUGAAAGAAAGAAACAUCGACGAUGGUCAUAUCAUUAAUAUCAACAGCAUGAGUGGACACCGGGUCGUCAACAGUGCUGAUUCACACUUCUACACUGCCAGCAAAUACGCGGUGACCGCUCUCACUGAAGGUCUUCGUCAAGAGUUACGAGAGGCCAAAACCCACAUACGUGCCACAUGUAUUUCUCCUGGCUUAGUGGAGACUGAAUUUGCCUACCGGCUCUAUAAUGAAAACCCAGAAAAGGCUUCUGCUGCUUAUAAGAGUAUAAAGUGCCUGCAAGCGGAAGACAUCGCAAACGCGGUGGUGUAUGUCCUGAGCGCUCCUCCUCACGUUCAGAUUGGUGACAUUCAGAUGAGGCCUGUAGAGCAGCUGGCGUAAACUGAACAGAGAAACGGGAUGAAUGAAGCGUCUCUGACAUUUUUAGCAUCUUAUAGCACACUUAUUAUAUAUAUAUAUAUAUAUAUAGAGCACAAAACACUGCCCUGUCAUUUGAUUUAUUACAAAUAAAUAAUA